Molecule: transfer RNA, 61 nt
Filed under: Astrosyne radiata
Lineage: Eukaryota; Bacillariophyta; Fragilariophyceae; Cyclophorales; Cyclophoraceae
Source: RNAcentral
CAAAAAGGUGACCUACUGGCACUCUACCAAGACAUGCAGACCAUCACCCCCAUAGAAAUCA